This 471-nucleotide long non-coding RNA is filed under the name Ananas comosus (pineapple). RNAcentral's name for it is "long non-coding RNA (ACOM_LNC011122)". Lineage: Eukaryota; Viridiplantae; Streptophyta; Magnoliopsida; Poales; Bromeliaceae. The record is from RNAcentral.
AUAAUUAGAUAAUCAAUAUUAUUAAUAAUUUAUUAUUUAUAAUUAAUUAAUAAGAAUAAUUAAUAAUUAUUAUUAUUUAUUAAUAAUUAAUAAUAAUAAUUAUUAUUAUUAAUUAGAUAAUCGUUAUUAAUAAUUUAUUAUUUAUAAUUAAUUAUUAUUAUUAAUUAUUAUUUAUAAUUAAUUAUUAAUAAUUAAUUUUUUAUUUAUUUUUAAGUAAUAUUUUUAUGUUAAUUAAUUACAUAAUAUAAUUUUAAUUUCAAAUUAUAACAUUUAUUCCUCUUGUUCCAAUCUAAUCAUCCAAACACUAUUUACCUUAUUCCUAGAAACAACCCAAUUUUCAUCCAAACGCAAAAUUGGUCCAGUUCCUGCUUAUACCUGAACUUGUACCUAUCCCUGGAACUAGUAAUUCUUACUUAUAUCCGAACCAAACGCAGCCUUAGACUCUUUCCAGUGGAAAGCAAGUUAUUAUAC